RNAcentral lists this ribosomal RNA (205 nucleotides) under uncultured bacterium. RNAcentral describes it as "partial 16S ribosomal RNA". It matches the Rfam family "Bacterial small subunit ribosomal RNA", at positions 568 to 774 of the family's 1533-position model. The record is from RNAcentral.
CGUGUAGGCGGCUCGUUAAGUCUGGUGUGAAAGCCCGGGCUCAACCCCGGAAGUGCAUUGGAAACUGGCGAACUUGAGUACGGGAGAGGAAAGUGGAAUUCCGAGUGUAGGGUGAAAUCCGUAGAUAUUCGGAGGAACACCAGUGGCGAAGGCGGCUUUCUGGACCGAUACUGACGCUGAGACGCGAAAGCGUGGGGAGCAAACA